This 446-nucleotide ribosomal RNA is filed under the name uncultured bacterium. Its description in RNAcentral is "partial 16S ribosomal RNA". It matches the Rfam family "Bacterial small subunit ribosomal RNA", at positions 338 to 795 of the family's 1533-position model. The record is from RNAcentral.
CCUACGGGAUGCAGCAGUCGAGAAUCAUUCACAAUGGGGGAAACGCUGAUGGUGCGACGCCGCGUGGGGGAAUGAAGUUCUUCGGAUUGUAAACCUCUGUUAUGUGGGAGCAAAUUAAAAAGAUAGUACCUCAAGAGGGAUAGACGGCUAACUCUGUGCCAGUAGCCGCGGUAAUACAGAGGUCUGAAACGUUGUUCGGAAGCACUGGGCGUAAAGCGUGCGGAGGCUGUUUCGUAAGGCGUGUGUGAAAAGCGCGGGCUCAACCCGCGGAGGGCACAUGAUACUGCGAGACUAGAGUAAUGGAGGGGGAAGCGGAAUUCGCGGUGUAGCAGUGAAAUGCGUAGAUAUCGAGAGGAACACUGGUGGCGAAGGCGGGAUCCUGGACAUUAACUGACGCUGAGGCACGAAGGCCAGGGGAGCGAAAGGGAUUAGAUACCCGAGUAGUC